This 608-nucleotide ribosomal RNA is filed under the name Qipengyuania seohaensis. RNAcentral describes it as "bacterial SSU rRNA". It matches the Rfam family "Bacterial small subunit ribosomal RNA", at positions 66 to 720 of the family's 1533-position model. The record is from RNAcentral. Lineage: Bacteria; Pseudomonadati; Pseudomonadota; Alphaproteobacteria; Sphingomonadales; Erythrobacteraceae.
ACGACCCUUCGGGGCUAGUGGCUGCACGGGUGCGUAACGCGUGGGAACCUGCCUUUAGGUUCGGAAUAACAGUUAGAAAUGACUGCUAAUACCGGAUAAUGUCUUCGGACCAAAGAUUUAUCGCCUUUAGAUGGGCCCGCGUUAGAUUAGAUAGUUGGUGGGGUAAUGGCCUACCAAGUCGACGAUCUAUAGCUGGUCUGAGAGGAUGAUCAGCCACACUGGGACUGAGACACGGCCCAGACUCCUACGGGAGGCAGCAGUGGGGAAUAUUGGACAAUGGGCGAAAGCCUGAUCCAGCAAUGCCGCGUGAGUGAUGAAGGCCUUAUGGUUGUAAAGCUCUUUUACCAGGGAUGAUAAUGACAGUACCUGGAGAAUAAGCUCCGGCUAACUCCGUGCCAGCAGCCGCGGUAAUACGGAGGGAGCUAGCGUUGUUCGGAAUUACUGGGCGUAAAGCGCGCGUAGGCGGCUUUUUAAGUCAGAGGUGAAAUCCCAGGGCUCAACCCUGGAACUGCCUUUGAAACUGGAAAGCUAGAAUAUUGGAGAGGUAAGUGGAAUUCCGAGUGUAGAGGUGAAAUUCGUAGAUAUUCUGAAGAACACCAGUGGCGAAG